GCCUCAUCGCGCAUCUAUAGAAAUGUGGAACAGUAUAUCCAGGUUUGGGCAAUCAUCGAAAGUCUGUGAGCAUACUUAGAGAAUGAGUAUUGAUCACUCAACUGGUUGUAGUAGGGACAACGUGAACAGAAGACCAAUGCUGAUGUGUGCUCCGAGCGUCCGACACUCCAGCAGAAGCGUGAACACUAACACAAUCUUCAUUACCGACUGAUCAAAGGCAUUCUCUGUAAAAGUGCGCGUCGGACUGAAAACUGUUAUCGGCUUCUACACGUCAUUGAAGAUAUUUAGAGAUUAACGACUGGUGGGACACACUCACCUCUGUAAUACUGGAAAGAGGGAAAUAGAAAUAUCUCUUCCUGAAAAUCAAGUUUGAGCUGUUGGCUACAUUCUUUGAAAGGAAAAUACCAAAAGUGAAGUCCUUAUGUUGUGGAUGGGGACAGAAUUGCUGCUGCUUAUUAUUUUCCAAGUGAAUUCAGCCCAGAACUCUGAACUACCUGCAGUAAUGGACAGUGACAUGCUCCCCCAAUUUGCACACCAACCUGGGCCAUCAUACAUGAGUCUGAUCCUGUUGGCUUUGACUGUGGGACUGUCGGGUAGUGUCUACCUCUGCGUGCUGCGGUACAUUUGCACAGGCUGUUGUCAGCCUGUAGUUGUCAGACCGGAGGACGACAGCCUGUCAGGUGUAGUUUGAUAGCAGGUUAUGUUUGUGAAGGUUGUGCGUACGAGUGUCCGUGAAUGUGUAGGCCUGUAAGCACUUAUUUUAGUCACUCUAAAUAAUUAAAACAGGUGCUGUCUAUCUGAAGUCAAUUAUUUUGGCCAUGUUUAUAUUUAAGUUGUACACGUUGGUUGAGGAAAGCCCCAGUAACCUACUGUAUGUAUUUUACACUGUAAAAAGUGGUAGCCUUCAGUUGAUCCCUUAAAGGAGUAUUCCAGGUUCAAUAAAAGUUUAGCUCAUUCAACGGUCUCUCCUUAUCUUUAAAAUAAGCAAAAUCAAGGUUACGUUGAGGCACAAUUUUAUAAAAGCACUUACAUUAAUUCUUCUGUUAAAACUGAAAUAUUAUUUGAGCUGUAAAGUUGUUUAAUUCGUAAUUUUUACAGUGUUACGUUGACAUGGCAUUCUGUAUAUAAAUGUACACAGAAAAGGCAAGUAAUUUUAUCACACUAAAAUGAUGUCAUCACACAUAUUGUUUAUGUCUUGUGGCUAUACUUUGAAACAGAGAUUAUUUUAACAAUUAUGGAUUGGUUCCAUUCACUUCCAUUAUCAUCUCUGUGUAACCUAGAUUGUUUCUUUUUUUUAAAGAAAAGGAGGGGCAAGUCAAAAAUACAUUUUACUGGUAGUCAGCAUUAUUCCACAAAUGCUGUUAAUUGAGCUUAAUACAUUUUAAUUUAAGGAGCUAUUUUUGCUUGAUCUAACCCUUCAAAUCAGUUUUGUUAGUGUAUUGCAAUGUACUCAGGUUCAUUCAGUGAUGUUAAAUAACAUUUUUGGAUUCAGUCAAACAAGUUAAUUUACAUGUUACCACAUUAAGCACAUUUUUAGGUUGUUUUUUCAGCGUAUGUUUGGGAUGCUAUGUUUCUAAGAAAACAUUGUGCAACAAUAAACCAUUCAUUCUUUAAUUCACAUAACAUACCUGAAGGCUCCUCUUAGGGACAUCGGAAUGUUAGAAAUCAUCAUUUUAAAGCAUGACUGCAUGUGGACACUAUCAGCAUUCAGCAUGCAACUUUUUCAAUCAGAGAUUUGAGCAGCUGCAGGAACAGACUGCAUUUGUACGCAAGUAUUGAUCGAGAGGGAGAUGUGAAUUUUAAAUAGUUUAACAAUAGACUCUAAAUGCUCUGUCAAUCAAAAGGAUUCACACUCACAUAUCCUAUCUUUGCUUUGAUAUGUCACAAAACUCUGAUGAACCACACAUGCUGUGGUUUGAAUAAUUAUUUGCCAAUACACAGAUACAGCAUUUAUGUUAAAAAUAAAAAUGUGUGGGGGACCUGGGUAGCUCAGUAUGUAUUGAUACUGAUUACCACACCUGGAGUCGCAAGUUCGAAUCCCGGUUGCUAGGGUGGGUUAACCUCCUCGUGGUCGCUAUAUUGUGGUUAGCUGUCAGUGGGGCACGUGGUAAGUUGUGCAUGGAUGCCACGGAGAAUAGCGGGAAGCCUCCACACGCGCUCUAUAUAUAUAUAUACAAAUUUGCCCAUUACUUACAACAGAGUUUGAGUAAUUUUUAGAAUAAACCAAUCACAGUAUUAUUGUGGCCAUGGCGAUGUAGUUAUUUAUAACACUUAUAACCAUUACCAGUACCUUUGUGAACAGAAUUUGUACCAUAUUAUAUUGCUUAUACUGUCACUGAUAAGUGGCCUCAGACAUCUCUUGUUUAAUUUGGUAGGAUGCUCCCUGGGGAAAUGAUCAGUCAGAUGCAGCAUCUGUUGCCAAGGGGUACUGCUGGAUCUAGUUGCCAUGGAAAUAGUUUUAUCUGCAUGCCUCUAGAUGGGGCUGUCACAUAAACUGUUCAGAUCACCUAACUAGCACAAACUUGUAAAGUUUGCAAGUAAACAAAAUCUCUG
Molecule: long non-coding RNA, 2553 nt
Organism: Xyrauchen texanus (razorback sucker)
Lineage: Eukaryota; Metazoa; Chordata; Actinopteri; Cypriniformes; Catostomidae
Exons: 3
Source: RefSeq, a predicted model, not a curated record